This is a non-coding RNA of Podarcis lilfordi (Lilford's wall lizard), 71 nucleotides long. NCBI's taxonomy places the organism in Eukaryota, Metazoa, Chordata, Lepidosauria, Squamata, Lacertidae. The record is from the annotation of a GenBank genome assembly.
GCCGUAGCUCAGCGGUGGAGCAUCUGCUCUGCAUGCAGAGAGGUCCCUGGUUCGAUUCCCCGGCAUCUGCA